RNAcentral lists this long non-coding RNA (910 nucleotides) under Oryctolagus cuniculus (rabbit). RNAcentral's name for it is "lncRNA (ENSOCUG00000031397.1)". Lineage: Eukaryota; Metazoa; Chordata; Mammalia; Lagomorpha; Leporidae. The record is from RNAcentral.
UGCCCAGAUACCGAACUUUGCACAUGCAAUUUUAAAAAUACCUCCCCCUACUGCAAAAUGUGCAGAGUUCGAUGGAAAGCUAUGUAAAAGGAUAGAGCGAGGAGAGGCCAGUGUGAUGGGGAGAGGUUAAAGAUAGGGCUCGCUCCGCGCUAGCAUUUGCUAGAAGCCACACUUCGGUACCGGCCGAGGGAGUGAGCCCAAAGAAAAGGAAGGGAGGAAAAGAGAGGAGCAAGAGUCAGCAGGCCAGAAGCUGGGCGCAGCAAAGCGAGUGCGGGGAACCCGGGGUUAAACGGAACGACUCCUCCCUCCCCCACCUCCGCCGGAGUCCGAGUGCCGCUUGGUUUUUCCGGUCUCUCGGCGGUCCCAUUGGGCGCGUUGGCCCUUUGAGCCAUGGGCUCCAGGUCCAGACGCGGCAGCGGUGACCACAGCUGGCCGGGCGGCCAGGCGCCACCCCCUAGGCUUUGAGGGCGGAAGAGUCCGCCCUUCGGCGGCGAAGGUGGCCGCUGCCGCCCACGCGGGCUCCCGGAGACCCGGGACCGUCGGAGCAGGUUUGACCCCACACGCCACCUCAACAUCGAACCCCGCCUGUCCAGGGACCCCGACAACCAACCACAAAAGUUACCCCCUCCAGAGGACCCGCCCACCGACACCCUGCUCUGUCCAUACACCAGAGGCUGGUCAGUCUACACACAUGGAAGCUUGAGGACUGCAGCCCUGCUCCAGGCGCAAACCCGAGAGCCUCUGGUCAACGCCCGGGGAAGCCUGGAGAACUCAACAAGGGACACCUGGGACCAGGGUCCCACCGUCACCCUGCUCCGUUGCCAUGGCCAUGCAGAAAAUCUUCGCCCGGGAAAUCCUGGACUCCAGGGGCAACCCCACGGUGGAGGUGGACCUGCACACAGCCAAGGGU